RNAcentral lists this ribosomal RNA (504 nucleotides) under uncultured bacterium. RNAcentral's name for it is "partial 16S ribosomal RNA". It matches the Rfam family "Bacterial small subunit ribosomal RNA", at positions 28 to 507 of the family's 1533-position model. The record is from RNAcentral.
GACGAACGCUGGCGGCGUGCCUAAUACAUGCAAGUCGAACGCACAGUUUAUACCGUAGCUUGCUACACCAUAGACUGUGAGUUGCGAACGGGUGAGUAACGCGUAUGUAACCUGCCUGGUAGCGGGGGAUAACUAUUGGAAACGAUAGCUAAUACCGCAUCAUAUUAAUUAUUGCAUGAUAAUUAAUUGAAAGGUGCAAUUGCACCACUACUAGAUGGACCUGGUUUUUAUUAGCUAGUAGGCAGGGUAACGGCUCACCUAGGCGACGAUACAUAGCCGACCUGAGAGGGUGACCGGCCACACGGGAACGGAGACAGGGCCAAGACUCUUAGGGGAGGCACAAGAGGGGAAUUUCGGGCAUGGGGGGAAGGCCGACCGAGGAACGCCGGGGGGGGGGAGGAGGGUCUUGGGUUGGUAAACUCCGUUUUAAGGGAAAGAAGAGUGGGAGAGUGAAAAGUUCACAUUGUGACGGUACCUAACCAGAAAGCGACGGCUAACUACGUG